AUGAAAUACCUGGGUUUGCCGUUGUCGAUCAAAAGAUUAAAUAGAAUCCACUUCCAACCCCUCGAGGAUAAGAUUGCAGCUCAACUUACGCCUUGGAUGGGCAAACACGUCGCAUCGCCUGGAAGGGUUGUGCUUGUCAAGUCGGUUGUAACGGCGAUUGCUAUAUAUUACUUCACGGUGCUAAACCUCCCCGUAGAGGUCAUGAAAAAGAUCGACUCCCUGCGGCGUGCAUAUCUCUGGGCUGGUUGUGACAAGGUUUCUGGUGGAAAAUGCAAAAUCAAUUGGGAGCAAGUGUGCAAAUCUAAAAUGCAUGGUGGCCUAGGUAUUCUCAACUUGGAAAAAUUUGCUACUGCCCUUCGCAUUCGGUGGUUGUGGGGAGCUUGGACGGAUCCAAGUAAGCCUUGGGUAAACUUGGGGAACCCGUGUGAUGACAAAGAUAAAGACAUAUUUGAUGCUGCCACCAAGGUUCUGAUUGGAGAUGGGAUAAGGGCUUCGUUUUGGGAGUCUGCUUGGCUGAAUGGUAUGAGACCCAAAGACAUCGCGCCAAAUAUUUUUGCGAUCUCUGCAAGAAAAAACUGCACUGUCCAGAAGGCCUUACAUAAUAACACAUGGGUCUCCAAAGUGGACAUUGGUGGGAACCUUGAUGUGAACCACAUAGCUGAGUUCGUCAACCUUUGGAGUGAGUUAUCACACAUUCACCUCAACCCCGGCGUGGCUGAUUCAAUUUCCUGGAAGCUCACCAGUGAUGGCCAAUAUUCAGCGGCGACGACAUACCGCGCACAAUUUCUUGACCUUACCGACUCAGAUAUGCCUCUUUUGGUCUGGAAGAACUGGGCUCCUCCCAAAUGCAAAUUUUUUGCUUGGUUGGCCAUCAACAAUAGGAUUUGGAUGGCAGACCGGCUUCAGCGUAGGGGUUGGCCCAACUGUAACCUUUGCCCGCUAUGCAAACAAACGCCAAAAUCAGCAGUUCACCUUCUUUUCCAAUGUCGUUACACGGUUAAAGUUUGGGAAUGA
RNAcentral lists this ribosomal RNA (1014 nucleotides) under Triticum aestivum (bread wheat). RNAcentral's name for it is "partial small subunit ribosomal RNA". The record is from RNAcentral. Lineage: Eukaryota; Viridiplantae; Streptophyta; Magnoliopsida; Poales; Poaceae.